Molecule: long non-coding RNA, 555 nt
Organism: Rosa chinensis
Lineage: Eukaryota; Viridiplantae; Streptophyta; Magnoliopsida; Rosales; Rosaceae
Exons: 2
Source: RefSeq, a predicted model, not a curated record
AUCAAACCCAGAAUCAAAACGCAUAUCCUCUCCCUUUACUCUCUAAAUUUCGAUCCCUCUCCAUUGUUCAAGCAUUGAAGCCAUGAAGCAUCUCCAUAUCCUUGCCGUAGUCAUCAUCAACGUCCUCCAUCCUUUUGAAGUUUUUCUUGCAUCCUUGAAUCUCUUCAAAAGUGAAGUAUACCCCAAUCCCUGGCUUAGAAUGAUACCCUACUUAUUCUAUACUACUAUUCAAUGUAGGGUUUAAAUUGGCACUCACUUUGAGUGUAUCAUAAACAUAAGAGGAGAAGAGCCAUACCAUUAUUGUCUCACAGCUGUAUAGCCAGCUAACAAGUAGCUCUGUUGAUUAUUUCUGUCGAGUUGUAGUGAUAUGGGUGGUAAGUGAUACAUAGUGUUUCCCAUAUCACAGAAGUGUUUCUUGGAGCUAGCAUCAUCCCAAUUUUUUCAGGCUCAUCUUCAAUUACUACAAUCUUCCUCUUAAACUGCAGAUUUAAACAUAAUUAGCCCAUUAUUUCUGAAAGGAUUAACGUACAAAAUGGUAUUUAAAUCUUACCGCAU